RNAcentral lists this ribosomal RNA (372 nucleotides) under uncultured bacterium. RNAcentral's name for it is "bacterial SSU rRNA". It matches the Rfam family "Bacterial small subunit ribosomal RNA", at positions 969 to 1340 of the family's 1533-position model. The record is from RNAcentral.
CCUUACCUACUCUUGACAUCCAGAGAAUUCGCUAGAGAUAGCUUAGUGCCUUCGGGAACUCUGAGACAGGUGCUGCAUGGCUGUCGUCAGCUCGUGUUGUGAAAUGUUGGGUUAAGUCCCGCAACGAGCGCAACCCUUAUCCUUAUUUGCCAGCACGUAAUGGUGGGAACUCUAGGGAGACUGCCGGUGAUAAACCGGAGGAAGGUGGGGACGACGUCAAGUCAUCAUGGCCCUUACGAGUAGGGCUACACACGUGCUACAAUGGUCGGUACAGAGGGUUGCAAAGCCGCGAGGUGGAGCUAAUCUCACAAAGCCGAUCGUAGUCCGGAUUGGAGUCUGCAACUCGACUCCAUGAAGUCGGAAUCGCUAGUA